GUUAGGAAUAUUCGUCAAUGGGGGAAACCCUGAACGAGCAAUGCCGCGUGAGUGAUGACGGUCUUUAUGAUUGUAAAACUCUGUUGUAUGGGAAGAACACUAGAUAUAGGAAAUGAUAUCUAGCUGACGGUACCAUGCCAGAAAGCCCCGGCUAACUACGUGCCAGCAGCCGCGGUAAUACGUAGGGGGCGAGCGUUAUCCGGAUUUAUUGGGCGUAAAGCGUGUGUAGGCGGUUUAUUAAGUAUAAGAUUAAAGCCUGGGGCUUAACUCCAGUUCGUCUUAUAAACUGGUAGACUUGAGUGUGGUAGAGGCAAAUGGAAUUUCUAGUGUAGCGGUAAAAUGCGUAGAUAUUAGAAGGAACACCGGUGGCGAAGGCGAUUUGCUGGGCCAUUACUGACGCUGAGACACGAAAGCGUGGGGAGCGAAUAGGAUUAGAAACCCGAGUAGUCC
This 450-nucleotide ribosomal RNA is filed under the name uncultured bacterium. RNAcentral describes it as "partial 16S ribosomal RNA". It matches the Rfam family "Bacterial small subunit ribosomal RNA", at positions 354 to 796 of the family's 1533-position model. The record is from RNAcentral.